AGGAGACUAUGCCUUCAGAGUAGCUAAAAUACAUCUUGGCUCUAUACUCAGAAGAUCUAUCUGGGGAUGGCCCCGGAGAGGAGCCUGAUGAAGGAAAAUGCUGGAGCCAGAGCCUAGUGAAUUUCUACUCCCAGGCUUGUUCAUACUCCACUGCUGCAACUGGCUAAACUAUGGCAGAGCCUUGAAGUCCUGGCUCAUGACAUAGCUGGAUCGCCCUUCUCAUGUCCCCUUCUCUUCAUGGCAGAAUUCUGUCUCAGGCUUCUUCAGGGUAUGCAGUGUGGUCUGCAGGGUGCUAGUGGAGUCUCCAGCAAGCAUAGCAGGCCCAGGAGACCCACUACUGCCUAUCUACUCCAGACAGAAGCAAGUGUAGUGCAUUGAGCUGGCAUGACUGACUGAGCAAUUGCACACAAGGGAGAGAACUACACAUGCUCAACAAGAUCUUUCAAGACUAUCAACUCAAAGAAAAACAACCUUAACAAUCUCUAUAAAUUUACCCACUCCAAAGCACCUCACCUGUAUGCUUCUGGCAUUCUUGACUGAAUCAUAAAUAACAGUGACCAUGUCUUCUUGCCUUUCAUCCCCUGCCUCUGAAAUUUUUGCCAGCAU
This is a non-coding RNA of Pelodiscus sinensis (Chinese soft-shelled turtle), 606 nucleotides long. The record is from RefSeq and is a predicted model, not a curated record. Lineage: Eukaryota; Metazoa; Chordata; Testudines; Trionychidae.